RNAcentral lists this transfer RNA (76 nucleotides) under Chloroflexota bacterium. RNAcentral describes it as "tRNA-Ala". It matches the Rfam family "tRNA". Rfam says of the family: Transfer RNA (tRNA) molecules are approximately 80 nucleotides in length. Their secondary structure includes four short double-helical elements and three loops (D, anti-codon, and T loops). The record is from RNAcentral. Lineage: Bacteria; Bacillati; Chloroflexota. RNAcentral also lists the same sequence under 1 other name.
GGGGCUGUAGCUCAGCUGGGAGAGCACCUGCAUGGCAUGCAGGGGGUCAGGGGUUCGAUCCCCCUCAGCUCCACCA